UAGGACCUCUUUUAUGCAGGACUGCAUCUCCUUAUUCUGAGUAUAUUAACAGACUCUUCUUACCUGCACCUGGUGAUCCUGUUUCCCGCAUCUUGGGGUCACAACAGCCGCAGCACAGUGGGUUCCUCACAGUGACAUCAUUCUUCUUGAUAAUCAGACUCUGGAAAAGAGAAAAGAGAAGCUGGAGGCUUAAGUCCUGCAAUGCCUGAGGAACCGACUACAGAGACGUUGGGUUUGCUGAGGAUGUCGGCGAGCAGUACGAGGCCCUCCGCCUUCACGCCAGCACUCAUAAAGGCGGCCAUUACUCGCCCUCCCUUCCCCGCGAGAUUGAAUCAGCGGCGCACAAAGCCAUGCCUCACGCACAAUGAGAGCCCGCCGCUUUUCUGUCAGCCAUUCAGCGGAAUGACUCGCGUAUAGACUCGAUAGGUUGCGGCGAUGGGAAAGAUUUUUGUCAAUCCAUGCUAGGCUCAGCUCGCCCGCCCGCCUUGGCGAGAGCUCUGGUGGAGGAAAUUGCCGGGAGCACAGGAUAUUAAACUUCAAUUUGAGAACACUCACAGGAGCACAAUUGGGGAUUUAUUUAGGGCUUUUGUCAACUAAAUCACUGCUGAGUAUCGGACACGAGUAUAUUUAUAAAAACAGGAUCUCCUGGAGGCGAGACAGCUGCAUAUCGUCGGCUUUGGCUCAUUUUCUUU
Molecule: long non-coding RNA, 692 nt
Organism: Nerophis ophidion (straightnose pipefish)
Lineage: Eukaryota; Metazoa; Chordata; Actinopteri; Syngnathiformes; Syngnathidae
Exons: 3
Source: RefSeq, a predicted model, not a curated record